RNAcentral lists this ribosomal RNA (477 nucleotides) under uncultured organism. Its description in RNAcentral is "partial 16S ribosomal RNA". It matches the Rfam family "Bacterial small subunit ribosomal RNA", at positions 329 to 797 of the family's 1533-position model. The record is from RNAcentral.
ACGUACACUCCUGCGGGAGGCAGCAGUGGGGAAUUUUGGACAAUAGGCGAAAGCCUGAUCCAGCCAUGCCGCGUGCAGGAUGAAGGCCUUCGGGUUGUAAACUGCUUUUGUACGGAACGAAACGGCCUUUUCUAAUAAAGAGGGCUAAUGACGGUACCGUAAGAAUAAGCACCGGCUAACUACGUGCCAGCAGCCGCGGUAAUACGUAGGGUGCAAGCGUUAAUCGGAAUUACUGGGCGUAAAGCGUGCGCAGGCGGUUAUGUAAGACAGUUGUGAAAUCCCCGGGCUCAACCUGGGAACUGCAUCUGUGACUGCAUAGCUAGAGUACGGUAGAGGGGGAUGGAAUUCCGCGUGUAGCAGUGAAAUGCGUAGAUAUGCGGAGGAACACCGAUGGCGAAGGCAAUCCCCUGGACCUGUACUGACGCUCAUGCACGAAAGCGUGGGGAGCAAACAGGAUUAGAUACCCGAGUAGUCCCA